AUUAUGCAAUUCAUGUAGGGAACUUGUAGGGAAUGUUUUGGGUUGUCGUAUGCAAUCAUCCAACUUAAUAACUCGUGGAAAAACUGAGGGUGAAUUAGUGCAAUUCACGGUUAACUUGGGGCGUUGAGUAUUCAUAAUUUAUCGGAAGAACAACUGAAAAUCGUUUUGUUUGCAAGUGUGACAUGUGUGGAGAAGAACCUCCUAACUAGCUUUUUAACCAUCUAUUUCACCAAAAUCGUUUUUACAAUCUGUUUAGUUUCAAGUUUCUGUUUUGUUUUCAAUUCUAGUCCAAAACAAUUCCCCCUUUAAUUUGAAGUCUUAGAUUAGUUAGAAAGUGUUUUGAUUUGUGUUUCUAAGUAUUUUGAUUCAAGUUUUCAUCAAAUUUCGUCCAAAUUAGUGUAGGUGCUCAAAACUGCCCAGAAAGUGGUUUUUAGGCAGUUUUGAGCCUUCUAGUUGCUGUUUUGAGUUUUAGGUUUGUUUAAGUGUUUUAACCUUUAGUUUUGCAUUCUUUGAGUCUAGUUUAGUGUUUUAAACUUUGUUUUAUGUUUUUAAGUCAGUUUCCAAGUGUUUAGCAAUCCCUCCUAAUCCCCGGUCUAGAACGAUCCCUACUUACAUCUCUACUACAAUUUGACAAAAGAGGGUUUAAUUUGAGUGCUAGUUAAUUUUCGCAUCAUUGAUUAAGAAUGCAUAUUUAGUUUUAAUGCAUGAAUUUGAUGCUAGAAUAUAAAUGAGUUUCACCUAAUCGUUACAAAUUUAUAUUAAUGAGUAGUAAAGGUUGCUAGUCACAAUCACGUUAAUUGAAUUCUUAUCAAACGUAUCAUGCACUCAUAGUUACAAAUGUCUCGUCAACACUUAUGAUUUUCAUGGAACGUAAUGAUCUCUGAUUGCAUCUCUAUUAUGCAUUCAUGUAGAGGACCUUUGGAGAAUGAUUUGGGUUGUCGCAUGAAUUCCUUCAAGAUCAAAUUCUGAGGGUUAAUUAGUGCAUCACGGUUAAUCUAGGGUGUUGAGCAUCAUAAUUUAUUGAAAAGCAAUUGGAAAUCGAUUCAUGUACAAGUGUGUCAUGUGUGGAGAAGAACCCUCUUGCUAGCCCAUCAUCCAUUUAAUUCCACCAAUUUCGUGUAAAUCUGUCUAGUUUUAAUUUCUGUCUUGUUUUACUUUAAAAUUCGUCCAAACCUAAUCCCCUUUUACUUUAGAGUGUCAAUAUAGUUAGAAUCUGUCUUAGUUUGUGAUUUUAAGUGUUUUUGAGUCAGUUUAGAGUAGAUUAGCAAUCCCUCAUAAUCCCCGAUUUAGAACGAUCCCUACUUAUCCAUACUACAAUUGUCAACAAGAGGGUUUAAUUUGUGUGUUAAGUUAAUUUUUGCACCAAAUUUUGGCGCCAUUGCCAGGGAUUAGCAACUUUUCUAAUCCCCCGUUGUUUCCUUUCGUUUAUUUUCGUUCUUUUGUUUUUAGUUUCUGACUUUGUUUUGUUUUCUUUGUUUUGCUAAUUACCCUGUUUUGUUUACUUAUGAUAUUUGAUUUAGUUUUCUUUCUUUCAGAUCAGGUACUAAAGAAGUAAGACAUGGCAAUUGCUAAUCUUCAAGCUCAAAUAGCAAAUCUUACUUCUCAAUUGUCACAAUACAUCGAAAUGACCACAAUACAAAGCACCCCUACAUUCGAUGUGUCCUAUAUGUAAGGAUAUUAAGCUGAUCAACAUCCACAAAGAAGUUGGGAGAGUUAUCAUGAUCAUAAUCAAUCAUGGAACAACUUGAUUUCCAACACGUACAAUUCAGAUUGGAGUGAUCAUUCAAACACUAUGUGGUGGGAACCUCAACCAGUUCAACACGAAGGACAUUGGCAGCCAUAUGAGGAGUUCUAUUCAAGACCUGCGCAGCCACCACAACCUCAUAUACAAUAUGCCCAACCAAACUCAGGUUCGUCAAUAGAUUAUGAUCAAAUUCUUGAUGAAUUAAAUUCUUUGGCGC
This 1961-nucleotide long non-coding RNA is filed under the name Malus domestica (apple). RNAcentral's name for it is "long non-coding RNA (MDOM_LNC018151)". The record is from RNAcentral. Lineage: Eukaryota; Viridiplantae; Streptophyta; Magnoliopsida; Rosales; Rosaceae.